This is a non-coding RNA of Cinara cedri, 336 nucleotides long. NCBI's taxonomy places the organism in Eukaryota, Metazoa, Arthropoda, Insecta, Hemiptera, Aphididae. The record is from the annotation of a GenBank genome assembly.
UAUACUUUAAACGGCAUAAGUAUAUAUGUACUUGUUAAUUCGUUAAAGUUUAUUAUCUAAUGAGUACUUAAUACGCAAUUAUACGUAAAGAAGGUAAAAUUGGAAGAACAAAGGAUAACGGAUGGAACAUAUGCCGUAAAUCCUUAAGGAUAUAAAAAUGAAAAUUUUUAGAGAAUCGAAGAGUUUGAGUUUUGACUGAAUAUACAGCAUGGAUAGCUGCAGCCGACCAAUUGAUAGUUUGAAGACCCGUAGGAAAGAAGAACUACAAAAUAUUAUUGAUAAUAAACAAUGUUUCGUGAUUUUUGGUGAGUUUCGUCAAAAUUUUAAUGUACGGUA